RNAcentral lists this ribosomal RNA (445 nucleotides) under uncultured bacterium. RNAcentral describes it as "bacterial SSU rRNA". It matches the Rfam family "Bacterial small subunit ribosomal RNA", at positions 28 to 456 of the family's 1533-position model. The record is from RNAcentral.
GAUGAACGCUGGCGGCGUGCUUAACACAUGCAAGUCGAACGGGAAACCUUUUAUUGAAGCUUCGGCAGAUUUAGCUGGUUUCUAGUGGCGGACGGGUGAGUAACGCGUGGGUAACCUGCCUUAUACAGGGGGAUAACAGUCAGAAAUGGCUGCUAAUACCGCAUAAGCGCACAGAGCUGCAUGGCUCAGUGUGAAAAACUCUGGUGGUAUAAGAUGGACCCGCGUUGGAUUAGCUGGUUGGUGGGGUAACGGCCCACCAAGGCGACGAUCCAUAGCCGGCCUGAGAGGGUGAACGGCCACAUUGGGACUGAGACACGGCCCAGACUCCUACGGGAGGCAGCAGUGGGGAAUAUUGCACAAUGGGGGAAACCCUGAUGCAGCGACGCCGCGUGAAGGAAGAAGUAUCUCGGUAUGUAAACUUCUAUCAGCAGGGAAGAUAAUGACG